AACGAACGCUGGCGGCAUGCCUAACACAUGCAAGUCGAACGAGACCGUCGGGCCUAGUGGCGCUCGGGGGCGUACCGCCGGGGAACCUACCCUUAGGUACGGAAUACCUCCCCGUAAGGGAACCUAAUACCGGUGAAUGUCAUCCGACCAAAGAGUUAUCGCCUGUGGAUGGGCCCGCGUUGGAUUAGCUAGUUGGUAGGGUAAAAGCGUACUAGGGCGACGAUCCAUAGCUGGUCGGAGAGGAUGAUAAGCGGCACUGGGACUGGGACACGGCCCAGACGCCUGCAGAAGGCAGCAAUGGGGAAUAUUGGACGAUGGGCGAAAGCAUGAUCCAGCAAUGCGGGGUGAGUGAUGAAGGCCUUAGGGUUGUAAAGCUCUUUUACCCAGGAUGAUAAUGGCAGUACCGUGAGAAUAAGCUCCGGCUAAAUCCG
RNAcentral lists this ribosomal RNA (431 nucleotides) under uncultured bacterium. Its description in RNAcentral is "partial 16S ribosomal RNA". It matches the Rfam family "Bacterial small subunit ribosomal RNA", at positions 29 to 505 of the family's 1533-position model. The record is from RNAcentral.